UUUACUAAGUGGAUUAGUGGCGCACGGGUGAGUAAUAUAUAGAUAACGUGCCUCUUAGUCUGGGAUAGCCAUUGGAAACGAUGAUUAAUACUAGAUACUCCUUCUCUUUAUAAUUAGAGUCGGGAAAGUUUUUCGCUAAGAGAUCGGUCUAUAUCCCAUCAGCUUGUUGGUAGUGUAAGAGACUACCAAGGCAAUGACGGGUAGCGGGUUUGAGAGGAUGAUCCGCCACACUGGUACUGAGACACGGACCAGACUCCUACGGGAGGCAGCAGUGAGGAAUAUUGCACAAUGGAGGAAACUCUGAUGCAGCAACGCCGCGUGGAGGAUGACGCAUUUCGGUGUGUAAACUCCUUUUAUCAAGGAAGAAAAUGACGGUACUUGAUGAAUAAGCACCGGCUAACUCCGUGCCAGCAGCCGCGGUAAUACGGAGGGUGCAAGCGUUAUUCGGAAUCACUGGGCGUAAAGGACGCGUAGGCGGGAA
This 481-nucleotide ribosomal RNA is filed under the name uncultured bacterium. RNAcentral's name for it is "bacterial SSU rRNA". It matches the Rfam family "Bacterial small subunit ribosomal RNA", at positions 79 to 581 of the family's 1533-position model. The record is from RNAcentral.